UCGUAACGGCGAGUGAAGCGGCAAAAGCUCAAAUUUGAAAUCCCCCCGGGGAGUUGUAAUUUGAAGAUUGCGUCUUGGAGGCGACCGUGUCUAUGUUCCUUGGAACAGGACGUCACAGAGGGUGAGAAUCCCGUGCGGCACGGCCCCCGGCUCCUUAUAAGGCGCUCUCGACGAGUCGAGUUGUUUGGGAAUGCAGCUCAAAGUGGGUGGUAAAUUCCAUCUAAAGCUAAAUACAGGCGAGAGACCGAUAGCGAACAAGUACAGUGAUGGAAAGAUGAAAAGCACUUUGAAAAGAGAGUGAAACAGCACGUGAAAUUGUUGAAAGGGAAGGGCAUGCCGUCAGAUUGUCAGUGUGGGUAAGAAGCGGGGUACAAAGACUGUGGAACGUGGCCCUCGGGUGUUAUAGCCGCAGUUCAUGCCCCGUCUCUUUCC
Molecule: ribosomal RNA, 432 nt
Filed under: Kodamaea ohmeri
Lineage: Eukaryota; Fungi; Ascomycota; Pichiomycetes; Serinales; Debaryomycetaceae
Description: eukaryotic LSU rRNA
Rfam family: Eukaryotic large subunit ribosomal RNA
Source: RNAcentral